GGUGACACCCAGCACGGUGACAGUGUCCACACGGCGGUGCCCGUCCCCCUGCUCUCGUGGCUGUCCCGGCGGUGCCACCACCCAGCACGGGGUUGUUGCUGCCCGGUGACGGUGCCCGUCCUUGUCACCACCCGUCCCGGUGGUGCCGGUGCCCAACCCCAGCAUCACCCCGCGGUGGUGCCCGUCCGGUGCCGAUACUGGGCCCGGUGGUACCCGGCCAGGUUGUGACCCGGAUCGCUGUCACCCGGCACAACCGUGCCCAGCGUGGUGGCGGUGCCCGGUACAACGGCAGACGGCGGUGCGGUGAUGUCCGGGUGACACCAGCGGUGCCGUCCGGGUGACGCUGGCGGUGCGGGGGCCCCCUUAGGCCUCCGAGGCCGCCUGGGGCUUGAGCUGCGCCUUCUCCAUGGCGGUGCCGUAGGGCAUCGAGCGCUUGAAGAAGCCCAGCUG
This 450-nucleotide long non-coding RNA is filed under the name Anas platyrhynchos platyrhynchos (common mallard). RNAcentral's name for it is "lncRNA (ENSAPLG00000026056.1)". The record is from RNAcentral. Lineage: Eukaryota; Metazoa; Chordata; Aves; Anseriformes; Anatidae.